GGAAUGUGUUAUGAGUUAUUAGUUAUAUUUAUUAAUAUAGUAAAUUGUAUAAUAAGGAAAAAAGAUAAAUUUCUUUAAAACGAUGAAUGAAUUCUAAGAGAGGAAUAUAUUAGAAAUAGUAUAUUUCAAUUUCGAAGAAUAAAAGAAACAUUCGAUGAUAGAAAGGAAUUUAAAAAAGGAUUUAAAGAUGAUGUUAAAAGAAAGCAUUAAUUUAGAUUCAGACUUUUUAAGAUAGUACUUAUCUACCCGUCUUGAAACACGGACCAAGGAGUCUAACAUGGAUGCGAAUGUGAAAGGGAAUAAUCCCUAGAAUACAUGGAGAGAAAUCGAAACACUAUGACGAUCAGAUAAUGAUUAGCAGUAGUAUCUUUUUCAAACGGAAAAGAAGAAGUAAACAUGUUAGGACCCGAAAGAUGGUGAACUAAACUUGAAGGAUUUGAAGCCGAAGGAAACUUUGGUGGAAGAAUCAAGAAGUGUUAACGUGCAAAUUACUUUCGAUAUUUGAGUUUAGGGGCGAAAGACUCAUCGAACCAUCUAGUAGCUGGUUCCACCUGAAUAUUCCCUUAGGAAGGUCAAAGUGGUAAUAGUAUUGAUUGGUAAAGAUAAUGAUUAGGUGUAAUGGUGGAGAUAAUCUGUCAACAUCUUGUCAAACUAUGAAUGAACAAAGAAGUUUGGAAUGUUAGUAACGCUAACUUAUUUUGAACUGAUAUAAGUACACUUUGAAUCGGCCAAGUCUGGUAAGCAGGACUGGCGAUGCGGGAUGAACCGAACGUAGAGAUAAAGUGCCAAAGGGAAACAUAAGGAAAACCAUAAAAGGCAUUCAUUCAUAUUGACAAUAGGACGGUGGCCAUGGAAGUCGGAAACCGCCAAGGAGUGUGUAACAACUCACCUAUCGAAUGAAUGAGUCCUGAAAAUGGAUGGCGUUAUAAUUUCCGUCACUGAUGCUCUACCAUUACUUUGAAGAGAAAGUAAUGAGUAAGGAAACGACAUGGCGUAAAGAUCACGAUAGUAAGAAAGCUUUUGAGUAAUCAAGAGUGAAACGAUCUUUAGUGCAGAUCUUGGUGGUAGUAGCAAAUACUAAGAAGAAGGAAAACACAUCUUAGAACUGAAGAGGAGAAAGGUUCCUAAACAACAUUACUUGGAUUAGGGUGAAUCGAUCCUAAAUGACAGAUGGAAAUCCUUAUAAGAAAUAUAUUAAAAUUUUAUAUCAAUGAUAUAAGAUAAUAAGAAGGAUUAAAAGGGAAUAAGAUUAAUAGUUCUUAAUCAAAAGAAUUUAAUGUUUAAUAUAUAAAUAGAUAACAGUCGUAAGACAGUUAACUAUAAAUAUAUCAACAUAUAAAAAAAUGGUAACAUAUAAAUGAACUUUAAAAGAGAUUAGUAUUAACUAAGGAAGAGUUCUCUUUUCUUCUUAACAAAGCUGCAUAUUGCAUUUAAAUGAAUCAAUCAGAGAAAUGGAAUAUAUUAGCAUUGGAAGACAAUUGUCAUAUGAAUGAUUGGAAUAGGAUAAUACUAGUUUUCAUAAAAAUUAAAGGGAAUACAUAAAGAAAGAAUUCUUUUGAUCGUACUCAUAACCGCAACAGGUCUCCAAGAAUUAGAAUCUUUAGUUAAAUAGAAUAACGCAAGUAAGGGAAGUCGGCAACAUAGCUCUGUACGUUCGCAAGAAAGAGUAGCUCUAAUGAUUGACAAGAAUCAUCUUGUGUACCAAUUAAAUUAGAACUUAUAAAGAUUAGGGGAAUCCGACUGUUUAAUAAAAACAUAGCAUUCUGAAGAAUCUAAAAGGUGCAAAACAGAAUGUGAUUUCUGCCCAGUGCUCUGAAUGUCAAGGUAAAGAAAUUUGCUUAAGCGCGGGUUAACGGCGGGAGUAACUAUGACUCUCUUAAGGUAGCCAAAUGCCUCGUCAUCUAAUUAGUGACGCGCAUGAAUGGAUCACCGUGAUUCCCACUGUCCCUAUUUGCAAUCUAGUGAAACCACAGUCAAGGGAACGGGCUUGAAAAGAACGGCGGGGAAAGAAGACCCUGUUGAGCUUGACUCCAAUUUAUCUAGUGAAAUCGAUUUUUUGGUGUAGGCUAGGUGGGAGAGAGUAACAUCUCAAACGUGAAAUA
RNAcentral lists this ribosomal RNA (2102 nucleotides) under human gut metagenome. RNAcentral describes it as "eukaryotic LSU rRNA". It matches the Rfam family "Eukaryotic large subunit ribosomal RNA", at positions 1 to 2496 of the family's 3401-position model. The record is from RNAcentral.